This 468-nucleotide ribosomal RNA is filed under the name uncultured bacterium. RNAcentral's name for it is "partial 16S ribosomal RNA". It matches the Rfam family "Bacterial small subunit ribosomal RNA", at positions 28 to 507 of the family's 1533-position model. The record is from RNAcentral.
GACGAACGCUGGCGGCGUGCUUAACACAUGCAAGUCGAACGGAAAGGCCCUGCUUUUGUGGGGUGCUCGAGUGACGAACGGGUGAGUAACACGUGAGUAACCUGCCCUUGACUUUGGGAUAACUUCAGGAAACUGGGGCUAAUACCGGAUAGGAGCUCCUGCUGCAUGGUGGGGGUUGGAAAGUUUCGGCGGUUGGGGAUGGACUCGCGGCUUAUCAGCUUGUUGGUGGGGUAGUGGCUUACCAAGGCUUUGACGGGUAGCCGGCCUGAGAGGGUGACCGGCCACAUUGGGACUGAGAUACGGCCCAGACUCCUACGGGAGGCAGCAGUGGGGAAUAUUGCACAAUGGGCGGAAGCCUGAUGCAGCAACGCCGCGUGCGGGAUGACGGCCUUCGGGUUGUAAACCGCUUUCGCCUGUGACGAAGCGUGAGUGACGGUAAUGGGUAAAGAAGCACCGGCUAACUACGUG